GUCUACGGUCAUAUAAGCUUGAACACAUCCCAUCUCAUUUGAUCUCAGAAGCUAACCAGGAUGGGGCCUGGUUAGUAUUUGGAUGGGAAAUGUAUUUCCUAGACC
Molecule: ribosomal RNA, 105 nt
Filed under: Meriones unguiculatus (Mongolian gerbil)
Lineage: Eukaryota; Metazoa; Chordata; Mammalia; Rodentia; Muridae
Source: RNAcentral